UGUUGGGAGCAUUAAGAGCUUCAAAUUGGUUGUUCAUGGUGGUUAGGGUAUUGAUGACAAUGGCAAUCUUGUAAUUACUUGAAGAUGAUAAGGGUGAGAGAGUAAAAAUGUCAUUUUCGAAAAAUAAAAUAAAAAAUUGAUGGCAUUUUCGUGAAUUAUAUGAACUUGUGGGGUGAAUAUGGCAAAACCAAUUUCCAAAAAAAAUGGAGGUUAGUUUUGUGUUUGACUUUAAGUUGUAGGUCAAUUAUGCAAAAAGCCCUUUAAAU
This 266-nucleotide long non-coding RNA is filed under the name Brassica napus (rape). RNAcentral's name for it is "long non-coding RNA (BNAP_LNC004765)". Lineage: Eukaryota; Viridiplantae; Streptophyta; Magnoliopsida; Brassicales; Brassicaceae. The record is from RNAcentral.